UUGACAUUUGGAGUAAUUUGGAGUCGAAAGUGCUUACGAUGACUGGGUUGUAAUGAAGGUUAUAGGUGGGAAAACUUUUGUUCUGUAUAUUGGAAUAACUAUCUGGCUAUAUGUAUCCUUCGAGAUAGAGAAAAGCAAUGCAUGGACACUUGGGCACAAGAUUCCUAAUCAAAUGAAAUGGUACAAGAUGCGGUAUUGUUUACGAAAUCGUGAUUGUGAGGAUGAUCAAAUCUGUGGAUUGGGAAUAUGUAUCAAUCCAUGUUUAUACAAAAAAUGUUGCAAUAAUGAAGCUUGCCAAGUAAAUAAUCAUAAAAUUCGUUGUAAAAAGGUUCUGCUUAUGACAAACAUAUCUACAACAAAUAUUUUGCCAGAUACAACACCUUCUCCUGUCAUCGUAUCAAGUCCACUUUAAUCAUCUACUUAUUAACUGUACUGGUGUUGAUAUUUUGUCUAUUUACAUACACAAUCAUUAACAACUGUAGAUGAUGCCUUGCAUUUAAAAUGAUUGAAUAUUAUUACUUUUCUCUUUCUUU
Long non-coding RNA from Cotesia glomerata, 533 nucleotides. RefSeq lists it as uncharacterized. NCBI's taxonomy places the organism in Eukaryota, Metazoa, Arthropoda, Insecta, Hymenoptera, Braconidae. The transcript has 2 exons. The record is from RefSeq and is a predicted model, not a curated record.